RNAcentral lists this ribosomal RNA (252 nucleotides) under uncultured bacterium. RNAcentral's name for it is "partial 16S ribosomal RNA". It matches the Rfam family "Bacterial small subunit ribosomal RNA", at positions 524 to 771 of the family's 1533-position model. The record is from RNAcentral.
GACGAACCGAGCGAACGUUAUUCGGAAUCACUGGGCUUAAAGGGCGCGUAGGCGGGCGGCCGAGUCCGGGGUGAAAGCCCCCAGCUCAACUGGGGGAAGUGCCUCGGAUACUGGUCGCCUCGAGGGGAGAUAGGGGGCGUGCGGAACUUCCGGUGGAGCGGUGAAAUGCGUAGAUAUCGGAAGGAACACCGGUGGCGAAAGCGGCGCGCUGGAUCUCUUCUGACGCUGAGGCGCGAAAGCCAGGGGGAGCGA